CAGGGUCAGGGUCUGCGCGUAAAGUGCUCUGCGGCUGGGGAAUGCCAAGGGGACGAAAAGCCUUGCGCUUGCGGUGCAGCCUCUGCUUCCCACUGC
This 96-nucleotide non-coding RNA is filed under the name human gut metagenome. RNAcentral's name for it is "THF riboswitch". It matches the Rfam family "THF (Tetrahydrofolate) riboswitch aptamer". Rfam says of the family: THF riboswitch presents a pseudoknot that joins P1-P2 and the loop of P3 and two THF binding. The record is from RNAcentral. RNAcentral also lists the same sequence under 1 other name.